UACGUAGGGGGCUAGCGUUAUCCGGAAUUACUGGGCGUAAAGGGUGCGUAGGUGGUUUCUUAAGUCAGGGGUGAAAGGCUACGGCUCAACCGUAGUAAGCCUUUGAAACUGGGAAACUUGAGUGCAGGAGAGGAGAGUGGAAUUCCUGGUGUAGCGGUGAAAUGCGCAGAUAUCGGGAAGAACACCCGUGGCGAAGGCGGCUCUCUGGGACGGUACUGACGCUGAGACGCGAAAGCGUGGGGAGCGAACAGG
RNAcentral lists this ribosomal RNA (252 nucleotides) under uncultured bacterium. RNAcentral describes it as "partial 16S ribosomal RNA". It matches the Rfam family "Bacterial small subunit ribosomal RNA", at positions 524 to 776 of the family's 1533-position model. The record is from RNAcentral.